UCCUACGGGAGGCAGCAGUGGGGAAUUUUGGACAAUGGGCGAAAGCCUGAUCCAGCAAUGCCGCGUGUGUGAAGAAGGCCUUCGGGUUGUAAAGCACUUUUGUCCGGAAAGAAAUCCUUGGCUCUAAUACAGUCGGGGGAUGACGGUACCGGAAGAAUAAGCACCGGCUAACUACGUGCCAGCAGCCGCGGUAAUACGUAGGGUGCGAGCGUUAAUCGGAAUUACUGGGCGUAAAACGUGCGCAGGCGGUUUGCUAAGACCGAUGUGAAAUCCCCGGGCUCAACCUGGGAACUGCAUUGGUGACUGGCAGGCUAGAGUAUGGCAGAGGGGGGUAGAAUUCCACGUGUAGCAGUGAAAUGCGUAGAGAUGUGGAGGAAUACCGAUGGCGAAGGCAGCCCCCUGGGCCAAUACUGACGCUCAUGCACGAAAGCGUGGGGAGCAAACAGGAUUAGAUACCCUGGUAGUCCACGCCCUAAACGAUGUCAACUAGUUGUUGGGGAUUCAUUUCCUUAGUAACGUAGCUAACGCGUGAAGUUGACCGCCUGGGGAGUACGGUCGCAAGAUUAAAACUCAAAGGAAUUGACGGGGACCCGCACAAGCGGUGGACGAUGUGGAUUAAUUCGAUGCAACGCGAAAAACCUUACCUACCCUUGACAUGGUCGGAAUCCCGCUGAGAGGUGGGAGUGCUCGAAAGAGAACCGGCGCACAGGUGCUGCAUGGCUGUCGUCAGCUCGUGUCGUGAGAUGUUGGGUUAAGUCCCGCAACGAGCGCAACCCUUGUCCUUAGUUGCUACGCAAGAGCACUCUAAGGAGACUGCCGGUGACAAACCGGAGGAAGGUGGGGAUGACGUCAAGUCCUCAUGGCCCUUAUGGGUAGGGCUUCACACGUCAUACAAUGGUCGGAACAGAGGGUUGCCAACCCGCGAGGGGGAGCUAAUCCCAGAAAACCGACCGUAGUCCGGAUUGCACUCUGCAACUCGAGUGCAUGAAGCUGGAAUCGCUAGUAAUCGCGGAUCAGCAUGCCGCGG
Molecule: ribosomal RNA, 1027 nt
Filed under: uncultured Burkholderia sp.
Lineage: Bacteria; Pseudomonadati; Pseudomonadota; Betaproteobacteria; Burkholderiales; Burkholderiaceae
Description: bacterial SSU rRNA
Rfam family: Bacterial small subunit ribosomal RNA
Source: RNAcentral